This 75-nucleotide transfer RNA is filed under the name Clostridiaceae bacterium. RNAcentral's name for it is "tRNA-Thr". It matches the Rfam family "tRNA". From Rfam's summary of the family: Transfer RNA (tRNA) molecules are approximately 80 nucleotides in length. Lineage: Bacteria; Bacillati; Bacillota; Clostridia; Eubacteriales; Clostridiaceae. The record is from RNAcentral.
GCCGGUAUAGCUCAACUUGGCAAGAGCGACUGUCCUGUAAACAGUGGGUUGAGAGUUCGAAUCUUUCUAUCGGCU